AUGGAUAUGAUUUAUUUUUACAAUGGAGGGAAUAGUCCCGAGUCGCCGCAGGCUUACGACCCGGCACUUGGGGGCUACAUUAUUCAAAUUGAGAUUACAUCAAAUAUGCAAGUCCCAUGUCACUGCCAGCAUGCACCAUGGCACUUGGGGGCUAAUGUAAAGUCAUUUUUUGAUCAACUUAUUGAAGACCCUACUCAUCCCAUUGUAAUGAGCCGGUCCUUGGGGGCUACCAAUUGCUCCUGUCAAAAAUUCAAGGUACACAAGCCUCAACCCAUUAUAUUGAAAGAUCCACUACUCAGUAGGUAG
RNAcentral lists this ribosomal RNA (306 nucleotides) under Triticum aestivum (bread wheat). Its description in RNAcentral is "partial small subunit ribosomal RNA". Lineage: Eukaryota; Viridiplantae; Streptophyta; Magnoliopsida; Poales; Poaceae. The record is from RNAcentral.